UACGUACCGUACGAACGUUAUUCGGAAUUACUGGGCUUAAAGGGUUUGUAGGCGGCCUUGUAAGUCAGGUGUGAAAUCCCUCGGCUCAACCGAGGAAUGGCGCUUGAUACUGCAAGGCUUGAGGGAGACAGGGGUAAGCGGAACUGAUGGUGGAGCGGUGAAAUGCGUUGAUAUCAUCAGGAACACCGGUGGCGAAAGCGGCUUACUGGGUCUCUUCUGACGCUGAGGAACGAAAGCUAGGGUAGCGAACGGG
RNAcentral lists this ribosomal RNA (253 nucleotides) under uncultured bacterium. RNAcentral's name for it is "partial 16S ribosomal RNA". It matches the Rfam family "Bacterial small subunit ribosomal RNA", at positions 524 to 776 of the family's 1533-position model. The record is from RNAcentral.